This is a long non-coding RNA of Venturia canescens, 531 nucleotides long. RefSeq lists it as uncharacterized. NCBI's taxonomy places the organism in Eukaryota, Metazoa, Arthropoda, Insecta, Hymenoptera, Ichneumonidae. The transcript has 3 exons. The record is from RefSeq and is a predicted model, not a curated record.
GUUGAUACUCGACUUAUUGCAUCCUUCGCAUCGAAAAAGUCCCUUCGGUGCACCUACGAGAAGGGGGUAAAAGAAAACGGGGCAAAAACAGGGUUGUACAUAGCGCUGGAUACACAGAACACGAGUGCGCCUCGAAGGUCAACCGCCUGGAGCACUGACAGAUUGGAUGCCUUUUUUGUCGCGGGGUCAGCGUCGACCACGCAGCGAAGUCAUAACGCUGCAGAAACGUUCAACAGAUGGUUUCAAAGUAACGAAACAGCGCGACGACUCCGCGCGCUAACGCGCAAAUCACAAAGAUCCGAUAUGAAAAGAUUGAAUGUUGGAGCACCGGUUGCGAAGGGACACUAAAGACUGUUGAAGCAACGCCGAAGGAUCGCGAAACCCACUGAUUAUUCAUGCACCUCGAACGACAGUUGUGAGUCAUAACUCACCGUGGGCGAUCCUUCAACGCAAUCCUCCGAGAAAACAUCUUACACACCUGCACUCAAAUAAUGCAUACUUAUUACAUUCUUUAUUUUCGUAAUAACGAAU